Molecule: small nuclear RNA, 106 nt
Filed under: Neotoma lepida (desert woodrat)
Lineage: Eukaryota; Metazoa; Chordata; Mammalia; Rodentia; Cricetidae
Source: RNAcentral
GUGCUCGCUUCAGCAGCACACAUACUAAAAUUAGAACAUGCAGAGAAUAUUAGCAUGGCCCCUGUGCAAGGAUGACACGUAAAUUUGUGAAGCGUUCCGUAUUGAA